AGAAUCGCUUGAACCCGGGAGGCGGAGGUUGCAGUGAGCUGAGGUUGCAGUGAGCUGAGGUCGCACCACUGCAUGCCAGCCUGGGCGACAGAGAGAGACUCCAUCUCAAAAAAUGAAUGAAUAAAUAAGUAAAUAAAAUAAAAAAUUAGGCGGGUGUGGUGGCGCAUGCCUGUAGUUCCAGCUAUGCGGACGGCUGAGGUGGGAAGCCCAUAGGUUGAGGCUGCAGUGAAAGCCAUGAUCGCGCCACUGCACUCCAGCCUACGUGACAGAGUGAGACCCUGCCUUAAACAAACAAACAAACAAACAAACAAAACAAAGACUAUGUGGGAAACAAAGAGCUUACUCAGGGAAGAAUAUUGAAGUGCAGCAUUAAAAAUACCCAUUUAUGUGUGAGGGAAGAGUUCUGUAGGAGAUGCAAAGUAUAAGACAAUACAGGAAUACAUGAGAUGCUAAAUAACAGUUCCAGGAAGCCACUGAGGCCCAAGGCAGGUCAAGGUGAGGUGCCAAGUAGCACUGAUGGACAUUGUGUGUAGAAUUCAGAGGAAAAGGUCAUUUUCAUGAGGAUGCUUAGGAAAGACUUUGAUAGCAGAGGUAGGAUUUGGAUCAGGUUUUGUAGGAUGGAUAGGAUUUAGAUAGAAGUGCCUAUGAAUAUUCUGUGAUUGGAAGGAUGGUGCCAAGACGUGGAGUAAGAACCUGACAGUUGGCCGGGUGUGGUGACUCACACCUGUAAUCCCAGCAUUUUGGGAGGCUGAGGCGGGUGGAUCACUUGAGGCCAGGAGUUCAAGACCAGCCUGGCCAAGACGGUGAAACCCUGUGUCUACAAAAAAAAAAAAAAAAAAAAAAAAAAGCUGGGUUCCUGUAAUCCCAGUUACUCGGGAGGCUGAGGCAUGAGAAUUGCUUGAACCUGGGAGGUGAAGGUUGUAGUGAGCCGAGGUUGCGCCACUGCACUCCAGCCUGGGCGACAGAACAAGACUCUGUCUCAAACAAACAAACAAACAAAUGAACCUGACAGUCUAAGAUUCUGUGAAUAAAAGAAACAGAGAGGGCAUUUAAGCCUGUCUUUCUGGUCAUAUUCUUCUACCCAACUCCUGCCUUAUAAUGGAGUAAAGGCUACAGGGCUCUUAUGACCCUUUAAUUGAGGACUCCGGAAAUGGCUGAAGCCUAGGAUUUGUCAGCCUGUGGGAAUAACACCCUAGCUCUGUGUGAUCUGGCUCUCUCAAAUGUCUGUACAGAUUCAAAGGAUCUUCUCUGAGAUUUGUGGGUGGUUUUAUCUCUUGAAGGCUGACUUCCACACCCUAUUCCCAUCCUAAAGCAAUGGAGUCCUUGGGAUGUUAGCACUCUUUAGUCGUUGGAAUUCACAGAAGACUUGAUAACAAAAUCUAGUCAUUUUCAACAACUUAACUUUAUUUCAUAAUUUUUGCCAUCAAUAUGUUUCACUAUAAAUAUAAUAAAAUUUUUGAAAUCACAUGUGUUUCCUUAAAAUGUAUGUUCUUUUAUAGUUAUAUCCAGUUUUGAAUUAUCGUUCUGCUAUUGAAUUAAAUUUGGUAGUUUUUAACAUACCUGUUGCUUUUUGUGGUGGUUACUAUCAGAUAAAUGCCUUUGUUUAUUACAUGUAUUCUAAAUAUUCUUCCAUUCAUAAACUAUGAUUCAUAUCCUUUUCUUUCCUAUUACUAUUGUUUUUUCUUCCCUGUUAAGGUAUAGAUAAAUUCCAACAUCAAACAAAAGCUUUUGGAACAACUCAGACAAUAUCUGUAGUGGUUCUGAAUCACGUCUAGAUGGGCCCUUCCACAUGUCUGUGGUAUAUGGCAAAAACAGUCUCCACAAACCUACAUGCUAUUCUCAUUGCUUGCAUUACAGGCUGCUUUCUUGAAAAGGCAAGGACAUACUAAUCAUGCUUCUAGAAUAAUAGCAUACAAUUAUAGGCCAGGGAACCUCUGGGAAUUUUUGGUCUGUGCCAGUUUAUAAAGGAACAGCCCAAGGUUUGACCUUCAUCACUGAGAUGACUCUACUGGAGAGUUUGUCAGUCACUGCAACAUCUGAUUUGAUUUUUGGUAGGUGUUUGAUACUAGGCCACAAAUUAGCACACCCUGUCAUUUAAAAAUUCUUGUUUAAAUUAUUGACUGAGACUUUUUUUUGUGUGCGUGUGUUACUGUAAUGAACUGAAAUUUCCCAUGGCAUGGCAUAAUAACUCUUUGUAAUAAACAUUUAAAGGGUAGAUACCUUUUGAAAUCCAUGUUGACGUCGAUUAAUUCAGAAGUCAAACUUGUUUUGCCCGUGCUGUCCAUCUGGUAUAUGUACAUAGACUUUUUCUAUUAUAUCAUUCAACUUCAUCAUUGCUUGUUUAAACACAAGCUAUUUUCCUCUUUUGUGUAUACAUUUCUGUUCCCCCAUAUAUAUAGACUUUUUAUAUUUCAGCUGGGCAGCAUUUACUUGCUCUUAAUGUCUCCCCAUAAUUUCCCUUCAGGUGUGGUACUGCAUGUGCUUUUUCAAAGCCUUGAUAAUUUAAAUGGCAGAAAUGCUAUUAUUAACUCCAUAUAAGGUGGUUAUGGGUUUGUCACUCAGGCCAUGUGUAACUUGAAUUUUUGUCUAAGCCUCAGAAAAACCUGUUUGUGAGGCCACUUUUCAGAAUUUCUUGGGCUUUUUGGAAAAUUGAACGUCUGUCUUGGAUAUUGGCUUGAGCUUAGAUAUGGCAAUUCCACCAGUGAUUAUUUCAGUGAUUGUGUGAAUUGUUAGAAUUAAGAUAAUUUGGUGUUAAUUGCAGUGAUUAUUUCAAGUUAUAAGAUUGUAAUCUAUUAUAAACGUGUUAAGGAUGGAAGGCACAAAACCCAACUAUUUUUCCAUAGUGAAUAAUCUUUUUUAAUGCCCAACUCAUAGGAAGCCUAGCUUCUGUUAUUGCUACUAGUCUUUUGUUGCAUGAAAGAUUUUUGUUUUUGCAUCAGAAUUUUGCCAUGAUAUUUCAGAGAGUAAGAAAAGAAAAAAAGAAAAGAAAGGUCAGGGUUCCAAGUCAGACUUAAUGUAGGAAAACUAGGCAUUCUAAUAUAGACUCAAACAUGAAAUAUGCCUGUGUUAUUCUUCAUCCUAAUUUAAGAGUUUAGUGAUAUUGCUUCCAUAUUCUGCAGUAAGAAAUAGUACAUUUGGAAACCAUCUCCUCCCAUAAAGUAAUUCAAAAAUAAAGUGAGAUUGUUUACAUGAAUAGAAAGUUGAUGAACUGUGAGAAUUGGGGCUUCCCUUGCUUACUCCAGCCAUGCAAUAGAAGGGAAAUGCUUUUAUAGUCAGAUUUCUGUUCACUGUUUUUCCUAACCAUAUCCUCCUUCACUGGCCAUAAAGGAGGAUAUAGCUGGAGAAAAAAAUCAGAGAAGAACAGUAUGUUUGAUUUGCAUAACAGAAAUACUUCAUAUUUUGCUUGGUAAGAAAUUAUUGCUUCUCUGUUAAUAUGAUGCUGGUGCUGAGGCAGCUCAACUGACUAUACCUGAAAUUCUUACCGAACAUUUUUAAGUAAUCGGGGACAGGUUAUUUGAUUUUGGGAUCUUCCUAGAUGUUUGUUUUUCUUCCUUCUGCUGUUUGCUUUUUUCCCUCAGUCCCUCUGCUGGAGGGGGACCUAACACAGGUGUGGGAUGAAACUGAGCAGGAGCCUUCUAGCUCAGUGUGUCUUGAAUUUCCUUUCCACUGUUCUUG
This 3675-nucleotide long non-coding RNA is filed under the name Homo sapiens (human). Its description in RNAcentral is "HSALNT0373249". The record is from RNAcentral. Lineage: Eukaryota; Metazoa; Chordata; Mammalia; Primates; Hominidae.